UUACGGCCACAUCACGUUGAAACACCGGUUCACGUACGAUCAUCGAAGUUAAGCAUUUCGAGCUUGUCCAGUACGAAUAUAGAAGACCGUCUGGGAAUACCAGGCGCGGCAA
This is a non-coding RNA of Acanthosepion pharaonis, 112 nucleotides long. NCBI's taxonomy places the organism in Eukaryota, Metazoa, Mollusca, Cephalopoda, Sepiida, Sepiidae. The record is from the annotation of a GenBank genome assembly.